UACGGAGGGUGCGAGCGUUAAUCGGAAUUACUGGGCGUAAAGGGUGCGUAGGUGGUUGUAUAAGUUAUCUGUGAAAUUCCUGGGCUUAACCUGGGGUGGUCAGAUAAGACUGUACGACUCGAGUAUGGGAGAGGGUAGUGGAAUUUCCGGUGUAGCGGUGAAAUGCGUAGAGAUCGGAAGGAACACCAGUGGCGAAGGCGGCUACCUGGCCUAAUACUGACACUGAGGCACGAAAGCGUGGGGAGCAAACAGG
RNAcentral lists this ribosomal RNA (253 nucleotides) under uncultured bacterium. Its description in RNAcentral is "partial 16S ribosomal RNA". It matches the Rfam family "Bacterial small subunit ribosomal RNA", at positions 524 to 776 of the family's 1533-position model. The record is from RNAcentral.